RNAcentral lists this ribosomal RNA (406 nucleotides) under uncultured bacterium. RNAcentral describes it as "partial 16S ribosomal RNA". It matches the Rfam family "Bacterial small subunit ribosomal RNA", at positions 30 to 526 of the family's 1533-position model. The record is from RNAcentral.
AUUGAACGCUGGCGGCAGGCCUAACACAUGCAAGUCGAACGAGUGGCGGACGGGUGAGUAAUGUCUGGGAAACUGCCUGAUGGAGGGGGAUAACUACUGGAAACGGUAGCUAAUACCGCAUACCAUCGGAUGUGCCCAGAUGGGAUUAGCUAGUAGGUGGGGUAACGGCUCACCUAGGCGACGAUCCCUAGCUGGUCUGAGAGGAUGACCUUCAACCCUGGAACUGAGCCACGUUCCAGACUCGUACGGGAGGCAGCAGUGGGGAAUAUGUCAAAGUGGGAGCAAGCCUGAUGCUGCCAUGCCGCGUGUAGGAAGCGGUCGUUCGUGUUGUCAAGUACUUUCAGCGGCGAGGCUUUACCCCCAGUAGAAGCACCGGCGAACUCCGUGCCAGCAGCCGCGGUAAUAC